GUUGCUGCGAGGUUGACUGCGAGAUACUGGGUACCCUGUUUGCUGCGAUUUGUCACUAAUUUGCCACAAUUUGCCACUAUUCGUCACUAUUCGAGACUGUACGCCACUACUCGCACUAUUCGAGACUUCGUACUAUUCGCAAUUCGCUAGUCGGGACUAUUCGCUGUUCUCUAUUCGCGACUAUUCGCUAUUCGGGUUUUCCAGACAUUCUGUUAGGAAGACGCAGCAAUGUCGAAAAGCAAGUUGGAAUGAAAUAAAUGACAAAAUUAUGCGAUUUUUUUUCUUUCUUUUUAGCGAGUAAUAGCUAGCGUAGCGUAAGUAGAAUGAGUUAUAGCAGUUAGCUGGGGAAGAAAUAAUUGAUUCGCUCGCUCGUUCGGUCCGUCACUCAGUCGAUAGGCCAUAAACAAUUUUUUGGUGGUAAUUCCGCUGACCAGGGUAUUUCGUUAGGGCUAACCAUUGUGAACAUGGCUACCAAAGCAAUAAACUGAUCUUUCGCGUUUGGAGUCGAACAAGUCGAACAAGUGCCCCCAAUUUAAAGACUAUUUGAAGUCUGGAAGGGCGAGAAAAUUCGCAAAUUCUCGUAGGAUCCGAUCGCUCACCGAGGCAGGCUCCAAUCGAUUUCCGUAAUUUCGGUUCCAGACCUCGCACUAGCAGACCGCGUAUUAAACAAUCAAAAUGGCCGCCACAAAAAACACAGAAGACGUGCGAUAGGUUGAUCCUCAUACUCUAAACGGAGGCUCCUGUGCUUGAGUGCGAAGCCUGCUCGGAGGAAUACUCGGAGGAAGCUCGGAGGCUAUAGCCACACAGCCCCCUCCCUCCCCUCCCCUUUCACAACCUCGUCCCCAGGGCCCUCUCCUCGACGAUUUUCAAAAUGGCGGCUCCUGGUGCAAUGUCUUCCCUGCCAUUUUGCACGUGGGCAUGUAAAGUCGACUUUCAAAGAGCCAGGACGAGGAAUGAGGAGACGUUUUUGCUUGUUGAUCAAAUUGCUCUGCACGAUGAAGAUGAGAUUUAAACUCAAGUGGAUCAGAAACUUGGCAAUUAGGGUUUACAUGCUGCAGUUAUCCAGGUAAACUGAUGAAUUACAGUGAUUUACAAUUA
Molecule: long non-coding RNA, 1098 nt
Organism: Orbicella faveolata
Lineage: Eukaryota; Metazoa; Cnidaria; Anthozoa; Scleractinia; Merulinidae
Source: RefSeq, a predicted model, not a curated record